UUCCAGAGGUCCUGAGUUCAAUUCCCAGCAACCACAUGGUGGCUCUCAACCAUCCGCAAUGAGAUCUGGUGCCCUCUUCUGGCCUGCAGGCAUGAAGAGGAUACUGGAAAGAUUACUUCUGUGUGAAGAGAAGAAUAAACACACCCAAGAAGUUACAGGAAAUAAACAACGCAGGACAGUUCCUGCCUCCAGGUUCCUGCCCUAUUUGAGUUCCUGCCCAGACUGCCUUGGAUGAUGAACUGUGACGUGGAAGAGUCAG
Long non-coding RNA from Peromyscus californicus insignis, 259 nucleotides. RefSeq lists it as uncharacterized. The record is from RefSeq and is a predicted model, not a curated record. NCBI's taxonomy places the organism in Eukaryota, Metazoa, Chordata, Mammalia, Rodentia, Cricetidae. The transcript has 3 exons.